Molecule: ribosomal RNA, 451 nt
Filed under: uncultured bacterium
Lineage: Bacteria
Description: bacterial SSU rRNA
Rfam family: Bacterial small subunit ribosomal RNA
Source: RNAcentral
AGCGAACGCUGGCGGCAGGCCUAACACAUGCAAGUCGAACGAACCCUUCGGGGUUAGUGGCGGACGGGUGAGUAACACGUGGGAACGUACCUUUAGGUUCGGAACAACACAGGGGAAACUUGUGCUAAUGCCGAAUGUGCCCUUCGGGGGAAAGAUUUAUCGCCUUUAGAGCGGCCCGCGUCUGAUUAGCUUGUUGGUGAGGUAAAGGCUCACCAAGGCUACGAUCAGUAGCUGGUCUGAGAGGAUGAUCAGCCACACUGGGACUGAGACACGGCCCAGACUCCUACGGGAGGCAGCAGUGGGGAAUCUUGCGCAAUGGGCGAAAGCCUGACGCAGCCAUGCCGCGUGAAUGAUGAAGGUCUUAGGAUUGUAAAAUUCUUUCACCGGGGAAGAUAAUGACGGUACCCGGAGAAGAAGCCCCGGCUAACUUCGUGCCAGCAGCCGCGGUAAU